AUACCUUUCUCGGCCUUUUGGCUAUAUCUGUUCUUAUCAUGAUAUUAACUUAAUUUUUAGGGGAAAAAUUCACUACGGUAGCUUGCUAUCGGGACUUUCAAGUGCCGUCUUGGUGUUUGCACUAUAGCCUUGGCCUGGCACACCCCAC
RNAcentral lists this small nuclear RNA (148 nucleotides) under Nicotiana tabacum (common tobacco). Its description in RNAcentral is "U2 spliceosomal RNA". It matches the Rfam family "U2 spliceosomal RNA". From Rfam's summary of the family: U2 is a small nuclear RNA (snRNA) component of the spliceosome (involved in pre-mRNA splicing). Complementary binding between U2 snRNA (in an area lying towards the 5' end but 3' to hairpin I) and the branchpoint sequence (BPS) of the intron results the bulging out of an unpaired adenosine, on the BPS, which initiates a nucleophilic attack at the intronic 5' splice site, thus starting the first of two transesterification reactions that mediate splicing. Lineage: Eukaryota; Viridiplantae; Streptophyta; Magnoliopsida; Solanales; Solanaceae. The record is from Rfam by way of RNAcentral.